GCCGAUGAAGGACGGGACGAACACCGAUAUGCUCCGGGGAACUGUAAGUAAGUUUUGAUCCGGAGAUUUCCGAAUGGGGCAACCCACCAUAUUGAGAAGUAUGGUAUAUACUAAGUGAAUACAUAGCUUAGUGUAAGGUACACGCGGUGAACUGAAACAUCUCAGUAGCUGCAGGAAGAGAAAACAAAUGUGAUUCCCAUAGUAGCGGCGAGCGAAAUGGGAAGAGGCCAAACGAUCAUGCUUGCAUGAUCGGGUUGUAGGACUCAAGAAUGGA
This 274-nucleotide ribosomal RNA is filed under the name Dolosigranulum pigrum. RNAcentral's name for it is "partial 23S ribosomal RNA". It matches the Rfam family "Bacterial large subunit ribosomal RNA", at positions 45 to 317 of the family's 2925-position model. The record is from RNAcentral. Lineage: Bacteria; Bacillati; Bacillota; Bacilli; Lactobacillales; Carnobacteriaceae.